This 456-nucleotide long non-coding RNA is filed under the name Homo sapiens (human). RNAcentral describes it as "HSALNT0335419". Lineage: Eukaryota; Metazoa; Chordata; Mammalia; Primates; Hominidae. The record is from RNAcentral.
GGUCUUUUACGUCGGCCUUCGCGAGCGUCUGGGCGGGUGGUAGGAACAAUGGCGCUGUCUUCAGUGGCACAGUGGAGCAGCUCUGAAGAUGCAAAGAUACACGAAAAAACUUCCAGAACAUCUGGGAGAAUAUUUAAUGGAAAAUCGCUUGGUUAAAACCUGACACUUUUAACAGACUAAAUCAAAUUUUUUUUGUCAGUGAACAGCGUUCUGAGUGUGGACGAGUAGCCAGUGAAGAUAAUGAAUGUCGAAUGUGACUGACUAGCAGCUUCAUUUUGAAUGAGGGUCGCUGUCUGCCCAUUGAUAGAGGCCAGAUUGUCUUGGAAGUUCCAAAGUUGCAACGAUUUCUGGCUAGUGCCACGAGGUUUACUUGACUGUUGUGUGAAAAGCUGAUAAGAAAACCAUCCAGAAAAAAGCUCUUCGUUUUACAAACAUGAAAAUAAAACAUGUAAUUUU